Molecule: transfer RNA, 74 nt
Filed under: Paramuricea clavata
Lineage: Eukaryota; Metazoa; Cnidaria; Anthozoa; Malacalcyonacea; Plexauridae
Description: tRNA-Ser
Rfam family: tRNA (bases 7-66)
About the family: Transfer RNA (tRNA) molecules are approximately 80 nucleotides in length. Their secondary structure includes four short double-helical elements and three loops (D, anti-codon, and T loops). Further hydrogen bonds mediate the characteristic L-shaped molecular structure. tRNAs have two regions of fundamental functional importance: the anti-codon, which is responsible for specific mRNA codon recognition, and the 3' end, to which the tRNAs corresponding amino acid is attached (by aminoacyl-tRNA synthetases). tRNAs cope with the degeneracy of the genetic code in two manners: having more than one tRNA (with a specific anti-codon) for a particular amino acid; and 'wobble' base-pairing, i.e. permitting non-standard base-pairing at the 3rd anti-codon position.
Source: RNAcentral
AACUUUGUAGCUCAGUUGGUUAGAGCACUGCAUCGGAAUUGCAGGGCCGCAGGUUCGAUUCCUGUCCGAGGGCA